RNAcentral lists this transfer RNA (76 nucleotides) under Marmota monax (woodchuck). Its description in RNAcentral is "tRNA.Ala". Lineage: Eukaryota; Metazoa; Chordata; Mammalia; Rodentia; Sciuridae. The record is from RNAcentral.
GGAUAUAUAGCUCAGUGGUAGAGUGCUUCCCUAGCAAGUAUGUGAGGCCCUGUGUUCAAUUCCCAGUACCUGUUCC